Long non-coding RNA from Amphiprion ocellaris (clown anemonefish), 512 nucleotides. The record is from Ensembl. Lineage: Eukaryota; Metazoa; Chordata; Actinopteri; Pomacentridae.
AGUGAGGAUGACUCCUGCUCCUGUCAUCUCUAAGCUCCUCACACAUCUUUACCUGCACAUGAGGAAAAUCACUCCUGUAGAAUGCAGAUGUUCAGAGGGAGAUGAUGCCACAUCUGGUCCAGCUGAUGGAAGGUCUUGAAGUUCUCUGACUGGCCUCGACUGAAGAUGGUCUUCUCACUGGAUUUAAGAUGCACAAUGAGGGACGUCUGCAGCGACUGAGAAAGAGUCUCACCACAUCCUGACAUGAGGAAAAAGACUUUAUUGAAGACUACAAUGAGAAAAACUAUCAGACAGCAGACGGCUGCAUUCAAGAGAGGAAGACCAUCAAACAUCCACGUCAGCUGAUGGAGGUCCAAGAGUCUCACCAAACAACCAACCUACAGAGUGAAGACCUCAAAUCUAAUUGGACGGCCUCCUAUUCAGCCACGUGUGAACAAAUGCCUCUAAAUUGUUCCAGAUAAGACAAGUACAAGAUUCUUCAGAGCCGUUCUACCACGAGCCUGACAGGAAGA